AUUGAACGCUGGCGGCAGGCCUAACACAUGCAAGUCGAACGAGUGGCGGACGGGUGAGUAAUGUCUGGGAAACUGCCUGAUGGAGGGGGAUAACUACUGGAAACGGUAGCUAAUACCGCAUACCAUCAGAUGUGCCCAGAUGGGAUUAGCUUGUUGGUGGGGUAACGGCUCACCAAGGCGACGAUCCCUAGCUGGUCUGAGAGGAUGACCAGCCACAAUGGAACUGAGACACUGUCCAGACUCCUACGGGAGGUAGCAGUGGGGAAUAUUGCACAAUGGGCGCAAGCGUGAUGCAGCAAUGCCGCGUGGAUGAAGAAGGCCGUCGGGUGGUAAAGUACUGUCAGCGGGUAGGCGUUACCCGCAGAAGAAGCACCGGCUAACGCCGUGCCAGCCGCCGCGGUAAUUC
RNAcentral lists this ribosomal RNA (406 nucleotides) under uncultured bacterium. RNAcentral's name for it is "partial 16S ribosomal RNA". It matches the Rfam family "Bacterial small subunit ribosomal RNA", at positions 30 to 526 of the family's 1533-position model. The record is from RNAcentral.